RNAcentral lists this ribosomal RNA (252 nucleotides) under uncultured bacterium. RNAcentral's name for it is "partial 16S ribosomal RNA". It matches the Rfam family "Bacterial small subunit ribosomal RNA", at positions 524 to 776 of the family's 1533-position model. The record is from RNAcentral.
UACGGAGGAUGCGAGCGUUAUCCGGAUUUAUUGGGUUUAAAGGGAGCGUAGGCGGAUCGUUAAGUCAGUGGUCAAAUUGAGGGGCUCAACCCCUUCCCGCCAUUGAAACUGGCGAUCUUGAGUGGAAGAGAAGUAUGCGGAAUGCGUGGUGUAGCGGUGAAAUGCAUAGAUAUCACGCAGAACCCCGAUUGCGAAGGCAGCAUGCCGGCUUCCUACUGACGCUGAAGCACGAAAGCGUGGGGAUCGAACAGG